Long non-coding RNA from Anguilla rostrata (American eel), 787 nucleotides. RefSeq lists it as uncharacterized. The transcript has 4 exons. NCBI's taxonomy places the organism in Eukaryota, Metazoa, Chordata, Actinopteri, Anguilliformes, Anguillidae. The record is from RefSeq and is a predicted model, not a curated record.
GUGGCGAAUACAAGCAAGAAGUUGAGUUGCGCCGGGAGGUUUAUCCAUCCUUUGAGCAGUGUUUGAAACUUAUUUCUGUUUUCUUAGAGUGUGAAAACAGCAGAGUGGGAUGCCCGUCCUCCACAGACUGCGGGAGCUCUGGGGGGGAUCUGGAGCCCUGAGUCACCGGGCCCUCAGAACGCCAGGGACUUUAAAGAGAACUUCUGUGCCCUCGAAGCAAACAUGAACAGCUACAGGAAGAAAGGCCUUCACGUGCCAAACACUGUGCCCUCCCUAAUGUUUGGGACAAAGGUUCAAUCAGAGGACGCGAAAGGGACACUACCUGUGAAAGUACAUUUUCUCCACAUGCUCUUUCAUUCAUUCACAACCUGCAGUUUCCUGCUGACCAGAACAACAGUCUGUUGAGGGGGGGGGGGACAAAAUGGCGGCUGUUUCCUGGUAGGAAGAGAAAAAAAACCGUAUCGGAUCAGAUAUCAUAUCAGAAACUUUCCACUGGCCUGCUGUCCAUGAAAGAGGAUUGUAAAUGUAAAGAAAGGGGUUUACACAUAAGGUUUAAAUACAUUAAAUCAUAUUGAAUCCAUUCAGAAUAAUGGGGAAAUUAUUUCAAAUAAGUUGAAUCAUUCAGGGUAUUUUCACACAGGAGUCCUGGCUCUUGUAGUGUUAAAAGUGUUGUCAUUGACCAGAGAAACCAUUCCCUGACCUUGAUUUGGCCCAGUAAACCAAGCAGUGCAGUGUGUUUAUAAAUUGCCUGUCAUUACCAAGUGCAGGCCUGAUCCCAGUUGCUGAA